CAGAGAUUCCUUGAUGUAACAGA
RNAcentral lists this non-coding RNA (23 nucleotides) under Rattus norvegicus (Norway rat). Lineage: Eukaryota; Metazoa; Chordata; Mammalia; Rodentia; Muridae. The record is from RNAcentral.